GAUGAACGCUAGCGGAAGGCUUAAUACAUGCAAGUCGAGCGGUAGUCCCUUUCGGGGGAUGAGAGCGGCGCACGGGUGAGUAACGCGUACAUGACCUGCCUAUCAGAAGGGGAUAGCCCUGGGAAACUGGGAUUAAUACCCUAUGGCAUUGUAUUUUUAAAUGGAUACAAUUAAAGCUGAGGCGCUGAUAGAUGGAUGUGCGUCUGAUUAGCUAGUUGGUGGGGUAAAGGCCCACCAAGGCGACGAUCAGUAGGGGGCGUGAGAGCGUGGUCCCCCAAACGGGUACUGAGACACGGACCCGACUCCUACGGGAGGCAGCAGUAAGGAAUAUUGGUCAAUGCCCGCAAGGGUGAACCAGCCAUUCCGCGUGGAGGAUGAAGGCCCUAUGGGUUGUAAACUUCUUUUAGAUGGGAAGAAAAUGCUUUGUUUACAAGGUACUGACGGUACCAUCAGAAUAAGCACCGGCUAACUCCGUGCCAGCAGCCGCCGUAA
Molecule: ribosomal RNA, 492 nt
Filed under: uncultured bacterium
Lineage: Bacteria
Description: partial 16S ribosomal RNA
Rfam family: Bacterial small subunit ribosomal RNA
Source: RNAcentral